AAAUACGGCCAUAUCACUUUGAAAACACCGGUUCUCGUCCGAUCACCGAAGUUAAGCAACGUCCAGCCUAAUUAGUACUUAGAUGGGUGACCGCUUGGGAAACCUAGGUGCUGUAAACG
Molecule: non-coding RNA, 119 nt
Organism: Octopus bimaculoides (California two-spot octopus)
Lineage: Eukaryota; Metazoa; Mollusca; Cephalopoda; Octopoda; Octopodidae
Source: Rfam